GAUGAACGCUGGCGGCGUGCCUAACACAUGCAAGUCGAGCGAAUGGAUUAAGAGCUUGCUCUUAUGAAGUUAGCGGCGGACGGGUGAGUAACACGUGGGUAACCUGCCCAUAAGACUGGGAUAACUCCGAGAAACCGGGGCUAAUACCGGAUAACAUUUUGAACCGCAUGGUUCGAAAUUGAAAGGCGGCUUCGGCUGUCACUUAUGGAUGGACCCGCGUCGCAUUAGCUAGUUGGUGAGGUAACGGCUCACCAAGGCAACGAUGCGUAGCCGACCUUGGAGGGUGAGCGGCCACACGGGGACUGAGACACGGCCCAGACUCCUACGGGAGGCAGCAGUAGGGAAUCUUCCGCAAUGGACGAAAGUCUGACGGAGCAACGCCGCGUGAGUGAUGAAGGCUUUCGGGUCAUAAAACUCUGUUGUUAGGGAAGAACAAGUGCUAGUUGAAUAAGCUGGCACCUUGACGGUACCUAACCAGAAAGCCACGGCUAACUACGUGCCAGCCGCCGCAGUAA
RNAcentral lists this ribosomal RNA (515 nucleotides) under uncultured bacterium. Its description in RNAcentral is "partial 16S ribosomal RNA". It matches the Rfam family "Bacterial small subunit ribosomal RNA", at positions 28 to 523 of the family's 1533-position model. The record is from RNAcentral.